UACGUAGGGCGCGAGCGUUGUCCGGAAUUAUUGGGCGUAAAGAGCUCGUAGGCGGCCUGUUGCGUCCGCUGUGAAAUCCCGGGGCUCAACCCUGGGCGUGCAGUGGAUACGGGCAGGCUGGAGGCAGGCAGGGGAGAACGGAAUUCCCGGUGUAGCGGUGAAAUGCGUAGAUAUCUGGAGGAACACCGAUGGCGAAGGCAGGUCACUGGGCCGCAACUGACGCUGAGGAGCGAAAGCAUGGGGAGCGAACAGG
This 253-nucleotide ribosomal RNA is filed under the name uncultured bacterium. RNAcentral's name for it is "partial 16S ribosomal RNA". It matches the Rfam family "Bacterial small subunit ribosomal RNA", at positions 524 to 776 of the family's 1533-position model. The record is from RNAcentral.